Sinocyclocheilus rhinocerous is the source of this 293-nucleotide long non-coding RNA. RefSeq lists it as uncharacterized. NCBI's taxonomy places the organism in Eukaryota, Metazoa, Chordata, Actinopteri, Cypriniformes, Cyprinidae. The record is from RefSeq and is a predicted model, not a curated record. The transcript has 3 exons.
CCACCAGUCAUACAAAGAAACCUGCUAGAGAAUUCAGGAUGGGUGACUCAGUACACCCCCUACCAGCCUGAGGUCUCUCAGGGGCGCCUGGAGAGCUUGCUCAAUUAUCAGACCAUGGUCUGUGAUAUCACGGGAAUGGCAGUAGCCAAUGCGUCACUGCUGGAUGAAGGCACUGCUGCUGCUGAGGCCAUGCAGCUCUGCAACAGACAAAACAAAAGAAGAAUUUUCUACAUUGACCCACGCUGCCAUCCACAGACUAUUGCAGUUGUGCAAACCAGAGCCAAGUAAGGAAG